AGAUAAGUAAGAAUUCAAAAGUGAGGCAAGACAGUCAUUAUCUUGUGAGGGGCUGAGUGCUUCCUGCAGGAUGCUGAAUUACUCUGCUUGACUGAUAGUCCUCCGCAGAUUGCUGGGUUAGGCCCAUUGUCACAAAGGUGGGAGACAAAGGUGAUAUUGGGAACUGCCUUUGCAUGGAUGGAAACAAGGCAGGAGAGUGAGAGGCCAGCAAGGAGAAAUUACAGUAGAUGAGUGAAAAAUUAUUGCAGAAUGGAUUUUUGUUUUGGUAAUAGGGGCUGGUCAAUAGUUAAGGUGUAAAAGAAACUUCCUUCCUGCAAAGUAGGGAGUAAGAACAAGAAUUCAUUAAAGAGCACCUGGACAGCGAGGGCCUAAUUGUCAGAAGACCCUCCCAAGGCAAACUCCGGCCAGUGGCUGUGCCAGGGUCUUUUAUCCCUGUGUAGACAUAUCCCAUUGACUUCAGGUGGACUUGUGGGUGCUCAUCUCUUCUGAAAACCAAGCCUUACCUGAGGGUCCAAGGCAAUUGAUGACUUUACAGGGCUUGUUCGUUUUAGAUUCGUGGAGCCUACAAAAAUCAAUAGUUUUCCAUUAUCGGGUGCGGCUGGGUCACUGGUCUGUCAAUGAGCUGUGACAAUUGCUGUGCAAGGGU
Long non-coding RNA from Mauremys reevesii (Reeves's turtle), 646 nucleotides. RefSeq lists it as uncharacterized. The transcript is spliced from 3 exons. The record is from RefSeq and is a predicted model, not a curated record. Lineage: Eukaryota; Metazoa; Chordata; Testudines; Geoemydidae.